CGCCUCCUGCCCAAAAAUAGGAGGUCCAGCCUGCCCAGUGACUAUAGUUCAACGGCCGCGGUAUCCUAACCGCGCGAAGGUAGCGUAAUCACUUGUCUUUUAAAUAGGGACUUGUAUGAACGGCACCACGAGGGCCAAACUGUCUCCUUUUUUUAAUCAGUGAAACUAAUCUUCCCGUGAAGAAGCGGGAAUUCUUAUAUAAGACGAGAAGACCCUAUGGAGCUUUAAACUUUACAACACCUGCUUAUUUUUAACCCUUUCAGAAUCCUACCCCCCCAGCAUCCUGUUGAUUAGUUUUUGGUUGGGGCGACCUCGGAGCAUAACUCACCCUCCGAAAUGAAAAGCACCUCCCCUUUAGUAAUAAGCUACAGCUUUAAACAUCAGUAUAACUGACAUCUAUUGACCCAAACUUUGACCAACGAACCAAGUUACCCUAGGGAUAACAGCGCUAUCCACUUUGACAGCUCCUAUCGACAAGUGGGCUUACGACCUCGAUGUUGGAUCAGGGUAUCCUAGUGGUGCAGCCGCUACUAAGGGUUCGUUUGUUCAACGAUUAAAACCCU
RNAcentral lists this ribosomal RNA (563 nucleotides) under Oreobates lundbergi. Its description in RNAcentral is "partial 16S ribosomal RNA". It matches the Rfam family "Bacterial large subunit ribosomal RNA", at positions 1829 to 2597 of the family's 2925-position model. The record is from RNAcentral. Lineage: Eukaryota; Metazoa; Chordata; Amphibia; Anura; Strabomantidae.